UACGUAGGUGGCAAGCGUUGUCCGGAUUUACUGGGCGUAAAGGAUGCGUAGGUGGAUAUGCAAGUCAGAUGUGAAAUACCCGGGCUUAACUCGGGUGCUGCAUUUGAAACUAUAUAUCUAGAGUGCAGGAGAGGUAAGUGGAAUUCCUAGUGUAGCGGUGAAAUGCGUAGAGAUUAGGAAGAACACCAGCGGCGAAAGCGCGUGACUGGGCCAGUACUGACACUCAUGGACGAAAGCUAGGGGAGCGAAAGGG
RNAcentral lists this ribosomal RNA (253 nucleotides) under uncultured bacterium. RNAcentral's name for it is "partial 16S ribosomal RNA". It matches the Rfam family "Bacterial small subunit ribosomal RNA", at positions 524 to 776 of the family's 1533-position model. The record is from RNAcentral.